CAACAACCCGCCGUUAAAUCGGGGUACCGAUUUUAACGGGGGCUUGAAAUCAAGCCCAAGUUGACCAGACUGUGUACCAAUCAUGUACUCCGUUAGUGGCAAGCGUUAAAAGUCUUACCUACGGAUGCGAAGCUAGUCUGUAGCUCUAAA
RNAcentral lists this small RNA (150 nucleotides) under Planktothrix serta PCC 8927. RNAcentral's name for it is "HEARO". It matches the Rfam family "HNH endonuclease-associated RNA and ORF (HEARO) RNA", at positions 3 to 132 of the family's 211-position model. Lineage: Bacteria; Bacillati; Cyanobacteriota; Cyanophyceae; Oscillatoriales; Microcoleaceae. The record is from RNAcentral.